Molecule: ribosomal RNA, 292 nt
Filed under: uncultured bacterium
Lineage: Bacteria
Description: partial 16S ribosomal RNA
Rfam family: Bacterial small subunit ribosomal RNA
Source: RNAcentral
GUGUCAGCAGCCGCGGUAAUACGAAGGGGGCUAGCGUUGUUCGGAAUUACUGGGCGUAAAGGGCGCGUAGGCGGCCCGUUCAGUCAGAUGUGAAAGCCCCGGGCUCAACCUGGGAACAGCAUUUGAUACUGGCGGGCUUGAGUUCCGGAGAGGAUGGUGGAAUUCCCAGUGUAGAGGUGAAAUUCGUAGAUAUUGGGAAGAACACCGGUGGCGAAGGCGGCCAUCUGGACGGACACUGACGCUGAGGCGCGAAAGCGUGGGGAGCAAACAGGAUUAGAUACCCGCGUAGUCC